This 373-nucleotide ribosomal RNA is filed under the name uncultured bacterium. RNAcentral describes it as "bacterial SSU rRNA". It matches the Rfam family "Bacterial small subunit ribosomal RNA", at positions 28 to 402 of the family's 1533-position model. The record is from RNAcentral.
GAUAAACGCUGGCGGCGUGCAUGAGACAUGCAAGUCGAACGGGUGACUCGGGCUUGCUCGAGUCGCUAGUGGCGGACGGCUGAGUAACGCGUAGGUGACCUGUCCCGAAGUGGGGAAUAACUGCCCGAAAGGGUGGCUAAUACCGCAUGUGUCCACAUGUUCGAUCAUGUGAGUAAAGCCGCAAGGCGCUUCGGGAGGGGCCUGCGUCCGAUUAGCNCGUUGGUGGGGUAACGGCUCACCAAGGCGACGAUCGGUAGGUGGUCUGAGAGGACGAUCACCCAGACUGGGACUGAGACACGGCCCAGACUCCUACGGGAGCAGCAGUCGGGAAUUUUGCUCAAUGGGCGCAAGCCUGAAGCAGCCAACGCCGCGU